UAGGGAAUCUUCCACAAUGGACGGCAAGUCUGAUGGAGCAACGCCGCGUGAGUGAAGAAGGGUUUCGGCUCGUAAAGCUCUGUUGUUAAAGAAGAACGUGGGUAAGAGUAACUGUUUACCCAGUGACGGUAUUUAACCAGAAAGCCACGGCUAACUACGUGCCAG
Molecule: ribosomal RNA, 165 nt
Filed under: uncultured bacterium
Lineage: Bacteria
Description: partial 16S ribosomal RNA
Rfam family: Bacterial small subunit ribosomal RNA
Source: RNAcentral